CUCACAAGGUUUGUAUGACCAGUCCAUCGCAGACACACACACACACACACACUUAAAAACAUCUGCCGUUCACUCAGCCGAAUUAUCAGAGGUUUCCAGGGAGACGAACACAAACAGUGGAGAUGUAUGUUGCGGCCCCACCUCGUGCCCUAAGAGAGCAAUCAACCUGGAGAAAGACAAGCAGACACACCCAUCGAGAACGGAGAAUGGCUAAAAACUGGCUUAAGAAAUGGAAGCUUUAGCGAUGCUGACGCUUCCAUUGACCUCCAUCCUCCCCUACACCUCCAGGAUGGUCCCUUCCUUUCCAACCUCCCCACCACCACCAGGAUGGUCCCUUCCUAUACCUCCUAGGGGGUCGGCUGCGCCCCUGCCUUCGUCUUUAGGCAGGAAAUGCAGAGUCCGGACCCUCGGAUUGAGAGCUAUGGACGGG
This is a long non-coding RNA of Pimephales promelas (fathead minnow), 430 nucleotides long. RefSeq lists it as uncharacterized. NCBI's taxonomy places the organism in Eukaryota, Metazoa, Chordata, Actinopteri, Cypriniformes, Leuciscidae. The record is from RefSeq and is a predicted model, not a curated record.